CAGCCGCCACGGGAAUACGGAGGGUGCAAGCGUUAAUCGGAAUUACUGGGCGUAAAGCGCACGCAGGCGGUCUGACAAGUCAGAUGUGAAAUCCCCGGGCUUAACCUGGGAACUGCAUUUGAAACUGUCAGGCUGGAGUCUUGUAGAGGGGGGUGGAAUUCCAGGUGUAGCGGUGAAAUGCGUAGAGAUCUGGAGGAAUACCGGUGGCGAAGGCGGCCACCUGGACAAAGACUGACGCUCAGGUGCGAAAGCGUGGGGAGCAAACAGGAUUAGAUACCCCGGUAGUCCCUGUCUCUUAUAC
Molecule: ribosomal RNA, 301 nt
Filed under: uncultured bacterium
Lineage: Bacteria
Description: partial 16S ribosomal RNA
Rfam family: Bacterial small subunit ribosomal RNA
Source: RNAcentral